GUUUAUUCCUAUGUUUGAUUUGAUCAGUAUUUCUUGGAGGUUUUUUAAAAUUAACUGUGAUGUGCAACAACUGAAAAAUAAGUGUUGCAGGGUUUCUAUAUUAUUGUCAUUUUGACAAAUGUGGCAUUUUCCAUUUGAUAACUUCAUUUUUUUUAAUCUUUCUUCAGUAUAACCAACAACACAUUAAAACACAGCAAAAUUGUCCGGUGAAGUUGCCAUAUUUGAUUGAUUUGCGAAGCAGUGGUCACCAUACAAUCGAUCAUACAACACAUGUAUUAUCAGGUCAAAUUAUUUAAACACUGGCUGACUAAACAGAGUCUAAAAAACGUUUACAUUUACAACAAGUAAAAAUAAAUCUUUUCCCGACUGUUAAUGGCUUCUUUACAGUAAAUAUGUUGGCUGUGAACUGAUCAAUAAAUUAGCCUUCAUUUACUACGAGUAAACGUCGGUAUAGUGUUGCAUCUUUUAUCUUCACGUAAGUUUUAUUUGUCCUUGCCGAUAUAAUGAUUAGAGCCAUUUCUAACUGAUGUUUACAGUUUUACUGGUAUGCCAUUGUUCCUGGUUAGGCAAGGAUUGAAUGUUUAUUUUCAUAUUAAACCUCGUCCUGUUCUUUAUGAAAUAAAAGUAACUUCAGGCUCUUGUCAAAAACAAGGAGACUAAAGAAGCUGGAUCAUUUAAUUUUGCAUUCAGAUAUAUUUUUUUCAUUAACUAUCCAAACUUGUAUGAUUCGGCUCCAUCAAUAUAGCCUCAAGAACUAAAAAUUAAAGAAACAACAGGUAUGGCUUUCUCGGACUAAUUUCAGACUCAUACCUCAAAUUUGACAAGAGUGGUCAUCUUAGUAUCAUGAUCUAUGACAAAGGAGACGA
This 866-nucleotide long non-coding RNA is filed under the name Mytilus galloprovincialis (Mediterranean mussel). Lineage: Eukaryota; Metazoa; Mollusca; Bivalvia; Mytilida; Mytilidae. The record is from RNAcentral.